Molecule: long non-coding RNA, 372 nt
Organism: Musa acuminata AAA Group (dessert banana)
Lineage: Eukaryota; Viridiplantae; Streptophyta; Magnoliopsida; Zingiberales; Musaceae
Exons: 2
Source: RefSeq, a predicted model, not a curated record
GUUUCACCAAAACCCUGUAGCUCACAGCACGCAGCGUUCGGCAGCGCUACGCUUCGAGGAGAAGAGGGCGGGCGACGGCAGCCGAUGCCGAGAGAUGAGCGCCGUCGUGCAGCGCGUCCCAUCCGCCGGCCUCGAGGUGGCGGGCCGCGUGGUGUCCGAGAUCGGCCCGGGCCUCCUCGUCCUCAGCGGCAUCAAUGAAUCGAACACCGACGCAGAUGCCGAUUACAUGUAUGCACGAAUGCCCGUUGCCUCUCAUCUUUGUUCAUCCUUAUUCCAAGAAUUUGCAUAUAGAUCAAACCUGCUGUCAUAGUUUGAAUCCAACACCGGCGCAGAUGCCGAUUACAUGUAUGCAUGAAUGCCCGUUUCCUCUCA